This 431-nucleotide ribosomal RNA is filed under the name uncultured bacterium. RNAcentral's name for it is "partial 16S ribosomal RNA". It matches the Rfam family "Bacterial small subunit ribosomal RNA", at positions 29 to 507 of the family's 1533-position model. The record is from RNAcentral.
AACGAACGCUGGCGGCAGGCUUAACACAUGCAAGUCGAGCGCCCCGCAAGGGGACUGGCCGACGGGUGAGUAGCGCCUGGCAACGGACUCUUAUCUUCGGGAUAGCCCUGGGAAACUGGAAUUACUACCGAAAGCGCCCUCUGGUGGAAAGUAUUAUCGGAUAAGGCACGGUUCGAGUUGGAUUAGCUAGUUGGCUGGGUAAAGGCCUACCAAGGCGACGAUGCAUAGCUGGUCUGAGAGGAUGAUCAGCCACAUUGGGAGUGGGACACGGCCCGAACUCCUACGGGAGGCAGCAGUGGGGAAUAUUGGACAAUGGGCGCAAGGCUGAUCCAGCCAUGCCGCGUGAGUGAUGAAGGCCUUAGGGUUGUAAAGCUCUUUCACCGGAGCAGAUAAUGACGGUAUCCGGAGAAAAAGCCACGGCUAACUACGUG